This 291-nucleotide ribosomal RNA is filed under the name Nematoda environmental sample. RNAcentral describes it as "partial 18S rRNA". It matches the Rfam family "Eukaryotic small subunit ribosomal RNA", at positions 1020 to 1312 of the family's 1831-position model. The record is from RNAcentral. Lineage: Eukaryota; Metazoa; Nematoda.
CUAGUUCUGACCGUAAACGAUGCCAACUAGCGAUCCGCCGGUGGUAAUUACGCCCCGGCGGGGAGCUUCCCGGAAACGAAAGUCUUCCGGUUCCGGGGGAAGUAUGGUUGCAAAGCUGAAACUUAAAGGAAUUGACGGAAGGGCACCACCAGGAGUGGAGCCUGCGGCUUAAUUUGACUCAACACGGGAAAACUCACCCGGCCCGGACACCGUAAGGAUUGACAGAUUGAGAGCUCUUUCUUGAUUCGGUGGUUGGUGGUGCAUGGCCGUUCUUAGUUGGUGGAGCGAUUU